ACUAGAAUAAUGAAUACAAAUUCCAAUUCUUUUUUUUUUUUUUUGGGUGCUAAUUCUCACAUUUUGUUGUUGAUGUGUUUUAUGAUUUUAUUUUAUGUUUAAGGUGUGUCUUAAAGCUAGAAUAUGUCUUAAAGUUAAAGCACAUUUGUUAAAAAUACUGAUAGAUUAUUUAUCAAUCUGAGUGGAGUAUGAAUCACAAUCUUAACAACCUAACCAAUCAUAUUUGGUCACUUAUUUAUGUGUUAAAUAUGUUGUAUAUGGAAUUUGAUUCAAUCAUAAUUCCAUAUCCUGCUAGUUUUUAAUUAUUAGUAAAGAAACAUUGUUCCACUAAGUGAUCCAUUCACCCAUUUUGUUCAUUUAUAUUUACCCCAUAUCAAAAAUCUAAAGGUAAAUUUUAACACUCC
RNAcentral lists this long non-coding RNA (404 nucleotides) under Medicago truncatula (barrel medic). RNAcentral describes it as "long non-coding RNA (MTRU_LNC001069)". Lineage: Eukaryota; Viridiplantae; Streptophyta; Magnoliopsida; Fabales; Fabaceae. The record is from RNAcentral.